UACGAAGGGGGCUAGCGUUACUCGGAUUGACUGGGCGUAAAGGGCGCGUAGGCGGCUUGUACAGUCAGACGUGAAAUUCCUGGGCUCAACCUGGGGGCUGCGUUUGAUACGUGCGGGCUUGAGUUCGGAAGAGGGUCGUGGAAUUCCCAGUGUAGAGGUGAAAUUCGUAGAUAUUCGCAAGAACACCAGUGGCGAAGGCGGCUCACUGGCCCGGUACUGACGCUGAGGUGCGAAAGCGUGGGGAGCAAACAGG
RNAcentral lists this ribosomal RNA (253 nucleotides) under uncultured bacterium. RNAcentral's name for it is "partial 16S ribosomal RNA". It matches the Rfam family "Bacterial small subunit ribosomal RNA", at positions 524 to 776 of the family's 1533-position model. The record is from RNAcentral.